This is a non-coding RNA of Lactuca sativa (garden lettuce), 6049 nucleotides long. Lineage: Eukaryota; Viridiplantae; Streptophyta; Magnoliopsida; Asterales; Asteraceae. The record is from RefSeq and is a predicted model, not a curated record.
UCUCUCUCUCUCUCUCUCUCUCUCUCUCUCUCUCUCUGAAUAUUACCACACACAAGUAUGUGUUUGUGUUUUCAAGAACCCUAAUUAGGGUUUCGAUGAGGAAGACGGAGAUGUGAAAGAAUUCUGAAAAGACUGGUGCUUUUUCUGUUCUUCCACAGCUUUCUUGAACUGCUUAUGGUUAUCUUUUAGAUCUCUGUCUAUUUGAGUUCGAUCUUGCGGUUCAAUAAAGCUGUGGGAAGACAGAGAAAGGAUCACCCCAGAAAAGCAUAAACUAUCACUUUCUAGAUCAGAUCCGAUCUAAUUCCAUCUCUUUUCAUGGUAUAUUUCACUGAACUUUAUUCGCUUUUUUGUUGCUUAAUUGCGAUUUUGAUCUAUGUUCUCUGUCUCUAUUAUUAAAUGAUAUAUGUGCAUAAAUAUAGCUACAUAAACACACGGGAAUCAAUUGAUUUUGGCAUUUUUAUUGAGAAUUAUAUAUAUAUAAACGACAAAGAAAUCCCAUUCAUGUUCAAUGUUGUUUCGCUGUAUGUCUUUAUGUUGUAUCAUGGACAUGAUAUCUGGUUUUGGAAAGCUUAUAUUUUUUUUUCUUUUAUAGGUUUUUAUUUUUAUUUUUGGAUAGUUAAGGUACAUGCCUUCAUAAUUAGUGAUAAGUUUGCAAUUUAAUUGUGUAUUUACUGAGGUGGCCAAAGUGAAUGGAUUAAUAGGAGGGUACCCGACUAGAAUGUAGUUGGACCACAAGGUAUGCAUGUUCUUUAACCAUAUGGAACUGUCCAACAAACUUAGAACUCUUAAGUUUUAAAGACAUUUAUGUGAAUAAGGUGUUAUGCCAAACACAUUUGUUUAUAACCGUCGAUUUUCAUAUAUGCUUUCUUGAAGAUGCAAGUUCAUAAUGAAUAUUGGCUUUUUAGAUGCUAAAAAUCACAAAUAAUUCUAGUGUUUCAGAACUGGGUUGAAAGGUAUAUUUGAGAAGUAAAUAUUUGUAGUUGUGCAAAAAUUCAAAUCUCACGUUGGAACUCACGUUUUAGUGAUUUAUAUUUUCUCCUAUUUGAGUUGUUUCUAUUUUGCAAAUGAGAAAAAAGAAAAAAAGCUCUUCGUCAUGUGCUAAAUACCUAUAUAUUAAUUUACCUUUUGAGAAUUGUUAUUUAUCGGUUUUUUUCAUCUUUUUUAAUUAUAGUUAGAAUGCAAGUUUGAUUAGGGUUGAUCCAAUAACACAACCGAAGAGGCAACCAAAUCGUAGUUGUUACCUGAAUAUGGACUCAUUCUAUCCCACCCGACCCAAAUUAAAAAGCAAACUUAAUUGGAGAAAGAAGAAGGGAGGCAUAUGAUCUAAAUUUAGUGUUUUUAAUAUGUAAUUCGAUUUGAAUUCAACGCUUUCCGCAUCCAAAAGAACACGGGCAUUAGCAGAAGUUAGUAAAAGCUAUGAGUUCACAGGAUGGAGAGUAUAAAAAUAGAAUAAAGUUUGUUUACCCAACAAACAAUCAAAGUAGGUAGAAACUCAACAUUGAUUCCAAGUGUGGAUCUAAUGUCAGUGAAAUGAUCAUUAAACAUCAAAUUAAUUAGAGGGGAUGAGAGAUGAGAUUGAGAAUAAGAAGGAUAAAUGUGUUGACCGAGAAGGUUCUAGAGUGAGUUGGUGGCGGAAAAAGGAAGCAAGAGGUGACAUUGAUGCUUGAAACAAAGCAACAUGUGGAGACAACAUGUUUCAAACGAAGCAGGUGUUGGCAUCGUGACUACAAGCACAGAGGCAGACACGUGACAACCAUACGAUAACGUUUUCACAAACAUUAUAGACGUCGACAUUGUCAUAAGCAUGAGAUGGGUAAGGAUGGUGAGGACGACACGACAGGAGCAUGAGGUGCCUUAUCCGGAGGUAAGGAUGAUGGGACACAAAGAAACGAUACGUGUUACACGCCUAAAACCAAACACAAGCUCUUAAUCCAUGACGAACUUUUUAGAACUUUGAUAAAAACCAAACUCUAGAAAGAAGCUAAAGUAUAAUAAAAUUAGUUUCAUAAUGUCAAAACUAUAAGUGGGAUUUUCCCCCAUUUAGUCCAACUAAGAUUAGCCUUCUCACAACUAGAAAGAAGUGUUGUUUCCGACGGUCAAUGUCAUCGGAAAUGCUUAGGAAACAUGUGUUUUUGAUGAACUUUCGAAGAAAUGAAACAUCAUGUUUGAAUUCUUUUGUGUAUUUAGUUCCCUUGGAAAUGUGUAGACAUUUUUGAAGGGAUGUAUAUUAAAAUAGAAAAAUGUGUUUAUAAUAUUUUCUUUAAAUUCCAUCGAAAAUGUUUUGGAAGUAUUGACACAUUUUAGUUCUUCAGAAAUUAUCAUAAGACCCCUAUAUCUUUCAAGUAGUGUAAUUUUUAUUUGUAAUCCACAUAAAAGAAUGAGAAGUAGUGGAAGAGACAUAAAUUUCUCAUGGUUUAGGUUUAUCUAGAUUGAAACCUGAUUGAUUCUGGAACCUCUAAAACUUUGGCACUAACUCUCAUUCCAUCAUAUAGUAUCAUGACAAAAAAAAAAACUAAGUUACCUACUAGAGGCUCAUGCUUGACUCAUUUCCCACAUUCUCAAUGAUUUCUUUUAGAACAUCAAACCUAAAAGAAGUAUUGUUCCAAGAUUCAAUAAUACCUUUCUAAUGAGAGUAUUCUCUUAUCAAGUGAAAAAAAUAUCCAUAGUUAAAACUAUAACCCAUUUAGUCCAACUAAGAUUAGCCUUCCCACAACUAGAAAGAAGUAUUGUUUCCGACGGUCAAUGUCAUCGGAAAUGCCUAGGAAACAUGUGUUUUUUGAGGAACUUCUGAAGAAAUGAAACAUCAUGUUUCAAUUCUUUUGAGUAUUUAGUUUCCUUUGGAAAUGUAUAGACAUUUUUGAAGGGAUCUAUAUUAAAAUAGAAAAAUGUGUUUCUAAUAUUUUCUUGAAAUUCCAUCGAAAAUGUUUUGGAAGUAUUGACAUGUUUUAGUUCUUCAAAAAUUAUCAUAAGACCCCUAUAUCUUUCAAGUAGUGUAAUUUUUAUUUGUAAUCCACAUAAAAGAAUGAGAAGUAGUGGAAGAGACAUAAAUUUCUCAUGGUUUAGGUUUAUCUAGAUUGAAAUCUGAUUGAUUCUGGAACCUCCAAAACUUCGGCAUUAACUCUCAUUCCAUCAUAUAGUCUCAUGACCAAAAAUACUAAUUUUAUCAACAAUCUUAAAACUUUUAUUAUUUUCUAACGAUUAGAUGCAAGACAAACAUUUUUUAGAAUAAAAUUAUCAUGCAAGCUACCUACUAGGAUCAUGCUUGACUCAUUUCCCACAUUCUCAAUGAUUUCUUUUAGAACAUCAAACCUAAAAGAAGUAUUGUUACAAGAUUCAAUAAUACCUUUCUAAUGAAAGUAUUCUCUUAUCGAGUGCAAAAAAUAUCCAUAGUCUAUUCAAAUUGAUUUUAUCACUGUUUUGGUUAUAAAAAAUAAAAUCCUAAUUUUGUAAUCAAAUUAGUAUGUGUGGUGUGAUGUUUGAAAUAAUAUAUAUAAAGUUUAAAUGUUUAAUAUCUUGAAAUGUGCUAAUGAUCUGUGAUGUACGCAAGAUAAUGGGAAGAAAAUGAUGAUAUCUAGAAAUUUGUUUGUAAAAAAUGUUUUAUCAUUCUAUGUAACUUGGUGUAUCUAAAAUAUUUUAGGAUAAAAUAGUGUUAAAGUAAAUUGAAAAGUGAAUUCUAACAAAUCUCAAGAUACUCAAAAAGUUAACAAUAUAUCAUAGAAUAUCAUAAUAGUUUUUAAAUGAAAACCAAUGAACGAUCAAAUGAAUAAGAGAAUAAGUUGUAAUUAAUUAAACAACAAUAUAUAAAUGAAAGAAAAUGCAUGAACACAAUGAUAUAUGAGGUCAACCCUUAAACCCUUUGGAUCUCCAGUGUAAACCCCAGUAGACAAUGAAAUCACCUACCUUAGCAAAUAUAUUAAUUGAAAUAAAAAUACAAGUGCUAGAUGAUCUUAAAGUUGGUGUAAAAGUGCUCAAGUGUCAAGAUUAUGAGAGUAGGAAUCAAGGUUAGAGAGAGAGAGAGAGUGUGUGUGUGUGUGUGUGUGUGUAUGAAUGAUGAUCAACUAAUAUUUAUACAUAGUGACAACAAUAAAUAUUCUGACAUUCUAAGGAUCUUCCUUGAUUCUUGCUUGACUCGGUUUUCUCGAUAGUCUUCAAUGUUCAUAAGGAUUUGACCAUGUGUUAUUGAACUGGUGUACACUUCUUUGGUCAAACUCUUAGUCCCUUGCACAAAAAACACAAAGAUAGUCCAAGAUAAUGAUUAAAUGCAAGAUCUUAGGCUUGCCCGCGAUGUUAGUAUAAGUUCUAGAUAAAAAUGGUAAGAUAAAAGUUCUAUGCAUAAUAAUUACCUCCGUAAAUCUUCAAUCCACGAUCCUCAGUAAUUGGAAAUUUUUAGGCAUGAAACCCGUUUGGCAGGUAGUGAUGUGACAUGUCAUGUUUCUCCAAGGUUAAUCUUAUCUGUCCAAGCUUAUAGGAAAUUUGAAGUUUUGGAUGGCAUAGAUUAUCGUAACAAACCCUCAUAUAAAUCUGAGUCGACUUUCUUAUUUAGCUAUAGUUACAAGGGUUAUUUCUCUUCAUUCUUUCACUUCGUAAACUCUUUAACGUGGGCAAGAAGCUUACCAUGUCUAGGGAGAUCUAAUGCAGUAAUGCCCCCUAUUAUCGAGGGCUUCGUUGAUUUUGGAAUGCUACCCCAAGAUGAAAAUGAGAUUAACACUUUUUCUAAUGCCAAUAUUGAGUUACUUCGAUCAUCAGGUAAAUUUACUUCGUGCACUAAUUUUAGGGUUCUCGAAUCACUGCUGAGAUCAAACUAUUUUUCAUCUACCUAGGCUGUGUUUUAUAAGUUACCUUUCACUAUUGAUUUAUCAUUCCCUUUCCCCUACUGAUAUUGGAGUUUUUUUGAAGUCACUAGUCUUGCUUAUGCUUAAGUUAUGUUGGUUGUUUGGCGUAUGUUGUUCUAGAUUCAUCUUAUAAAUGAGUUUGAAGGUACUAACCAUUGGGUAUCCGAGAUAUCAACCAUUUUAAAUCUCAAAACUUUUGUUUAUUCCUUUGUUGUUCUUAUGAUAAACACUUCAAAACCUUACAUGGUUUUGAAAAGUUGUCCAACUGACCAGAACCGGAAGAAGCAAUACUUUUUGUCAAUAUUCCCUCUCUGGGACAUGAUCUCUUUCCAUCUACAGAUUGGGUUAUAGAAGGUAAGGUUUUGGUUCAUUUUCUUCCCUAUGUUUGUUCUAAAAUUUUAGUUUUCCAUCUUAUCUUGAAUAGUUAUCAAAUUGGAUGAACUCUGCCCGGCUCAUGAAGACACCGAUGAGAAAAUUCAUAAUUUUUUGAAGCUUUCUGAAGAAAAAACAAGUUUCAAGGUUGGCAUCGACUGUUUAUCUGAGGGGAAUUUGAAUACUUUUUAUGUGGUAUAGGAUCCGGAGCCAAUCGACAUGUCUGCAGCAUCUAUUACUAAAACUGAGAAGCAUUCUACUUCGGGUGUGAGAAAUUUGGAAACUAAGGAUAAAAGUCCACAGCCUAAUAAAAGAAAGGUUGCACUGGAAGCAAGACAAGAAAAUUUUGAAGGGUUGAAACCUUUUGAAGUUAAACUAAAGAUGAUAUCAUUGAAUCAAUGUGCUAAAAAAUUGAUGUUGAGGGAAGCUAAAGAAUUAGAAAGGGAACUUGAAGCUGUGAAACAACAAGUUGUCCAGGACAUGAAAGAAGAAGGAUAAGGAGCAAGCAAUUAAAAUGAAGGAAUUGACAACCAAGGACAUUGAAUUUGUUGGGCUUAUAGUGUUGCGUCAUGGGCUCGGUCCUUAGCCUAGUUUUGGUAGCCGGUUUGGGCUUGUCCAACCAUGCAUUAUUUUACUCUAGGGUUUUAGUAUUUAAGGUGCAUGCAUGCAUCAUUAGUCAGUUACACUUUUAUUAUUUUUCUCAUCAGUAUUGUAAACCCUAGCUCACCUCUAUAGUGGAAGUUCUUCAUCGAGCUCUGCUGAGGCGUGACUAUAUUUGAAUUAUAAGCUUUACAUUGAUUCCAUACUGUGUUCAUAAUCGUAUUGUGUUUGAAUUGUUUGUUCUU